UUUGUGGUGGAAAUGAUUAUUUGAUUGCGAAAUAGUCCCGCAAUAUGUGAAGGUUCGAUUUAAGUUUUAUACGACCCACUUGACAAUAAUCAUCCUAGAAGGAUCUUAACUGCCAGAAGCAGUAUAACAAACUCUCGAGAACUACACCCUCUCAAAUGGAACAGGGAUUCGGACCAGCAGUCCAACAUAAAAUUAUUUUGACAAAUACAUGUUAUCAUUAUAUAUCAAAUUAUAGGUGACAACUCAUAAAGUCUCUGGCCAGAGCAGAUGAAAACUAGUAUCAUUAUAUAUCAAAUUAUAGGUGACAACUCAUAAAGUCUCUGGCCAGAGCAGAUGGAAACUAGAAUGUGUUUCUAGUUAACAUUGAAUUGAGUUGCACCUGAUUAAAAUACUAUAUGUUAUAUUAUGUGAUAAAAUGUUUCUUGGUGUAUAUAUUGGAAGAAGAAUUUCUCUUUGGAUGAAUGAUAUAUUGUCAUAUGUGAAUCCCACAAGGAUUAUAAAUACACGAUAGUACACUAACUUUUGUGAACACUUGAAAGAAAUUCUCGGUACUGAAGUACCGUAUCUAAGUAAACUACAACAUAUUUUAUCAUACACGUUUUGACAUAAUUAUAAAUUUAUUAAAAGUUGGUUUUCCGCUUUUGAUUAGUAUUCAUUGCUAAGUAAUUGCUCGCUCUAAAGGCGUGUGAAUCUUGAGAGUUUAUUCAAUCUCCACUAAUCAAUCUCAUAAGGUUUUUAAGUUAAUUUUGCAGGAGCAAAGUCCUCAUUUCAAUUAAUAUUAACGGUGGAUCAAAAUUGAUUAAAUUAUAUUGGAGUUUUUCUUUUGGUAUAAAAUGAGUUUUUGCAGGAACUUCUUCCACAAUAUUUUGACUUCGGCAAUCUAAGAUGGCUAAAGCUGGAGAAACAGUGUAGCAUGACAAGGAUGAGAACUCCACCGACUAUAUAUAUAUGAAAGCUCCAC
This 961-nucleotide long non-coding RNA is filed under the name Daucus carota (carrot). RNAcentral describes it as "long non-coding RNA (DCAR_LNC004423)". The record is from RNAcentral. Lineage: Eukaryota; Viridiplantae; Streptophyta; Magnoliopsida; Apiales; Apiaceae.